Small nuclear RNA from Nannospalax galili (Upper Galilee mountains blind mole rat), 102 nucleotides. Lineage: Eukaryota; Metazoa; Chordata; Mammalia; Rodentia; Spalacidae. The record is from Ensembl.
GUACUUGCUCUAGCAGCACAUAUACUAAAGUUGGAACAAUACAGAGAUUAGUGUGACCCCUGUUCAAGGAUGACAUGAAUUUGUGAAGGACUCCACAUUCCU